Molecule: long non-coding RNA, 204 nt
Filed under: Helianthus annuus (common sunflower)
Lineage: Eukaryota; Viridiplantae; Streptophyta; Magnoliopsida; Asterales; Asteraceae
Description: hypothetical non coding rna
Source: RNAcentral
UUUGUAGGGUCGAUUUCAUCGAGUGGCCAUAAAUCAUGAUCUUCACCUUUUGUAUUUAUUAAAUCUUCAACGUCACUCGCUUGUGCUAGUGUUACUAGCUUCAUGUCACAAGAUUUCUUGUAUUUUGAAAAUGAUUUCUUAAGACGUGAAGACGGAAUAAUCGGUUAUUAAUGUUCGGAUAAAUAAAAUCUGCUUCUGAUUAUC